This 67-nucleotide transfer RNA is filed under the name Gulosibacter sp. ACHW.36C. Its description in RNAcentral is "tRNA-OTHER". Lineage: Bacteria; Bacillati; Actinomycetota; Actinomycetes; Micrococcales; Microbacteriaceae. The record is from RNAcentral.
GCGCGAUUUGGCGGAGCGGUGCUCCGCCUUUGAAAAUCGCGCGCUGGUUCGAUCCCGGUAUCGCGCA